This is an RNA transcript of Octodon degus (degu), 463 nucleotides long. RefSeq lists it as uncharacterized. NCBI's taxonomy places the organism in Eukaryota, Metazoa, Chordata, Mammalia, Rodentia, Octodontidae. The record is from RefSeq and is a predicted model, not a curated record. The transcript is spliced from 4 exons.
GGGGCUGAGAAUCAUCCCAAUCUUCCCCAUGCACAGCGGGGUGGGCUCAGUAUGUCGGGCCCUGAAAGUAGCCCCACGUGAAGGGCGCCGGCCCUGGGUCUAGUGCGCUGCGAGUUAACCCGGGUGUGCAAUCUUGGCGAGGCCCCCUUGCUGCCUGGGAGGGAUUAGGAACACAGUCAGUCAGCGUCGACUUGCAUUACUGAGCACCUUAUAGGUCGAAGCUUCAGAGCAUUCCUGUGAUCAGAGCCAUAGAAUGUCAGCAGUUCGUUCAUCCGUGCAUGCCAAAUGGAUCGUGGGGAAGGUGAUUGGUACAGCAAUGAAAAAAACUGCUAAAGUGAGAGUGACCAGACUUGUUCUGGAUCCCUACUUAUUAAAGUAUUUUAAUAAGCGGAAAACCUACUUUGCUCAUGACGCCCUUCAGCAGUGCACUGUUGGAGAUAUUGUACUUCUCAAAGCUUUACCU